Molecule: long non-coding RNA, 815 nt
Organism: Hermetia illucens (black soldier fly)
Lineage: Eukaryota; Metazoa; Arthropoda; Insecta; Diptera; Stratiomyidae
Exons: 3
Source: RefSeq, a predicted model, not a curated record
UUGAGUGUUGGGUUUUCGGGUUUGUUUGUGUUGACACGAGGCACUCUCGGUUGGCUGAGUGUUUGUCAAUUAUUUGAUGUCUGUUUGCGCGUGUUUACGUAAAUGUUUAACGAGGUUGUAAGUUCGCUGCCGCCUGUGGAUCUCUGAGUUGUUGUUGCUUCAAUUCUUGCGCCUUCCUUUGUUUUUCCUAUUGUAAGGAAGGCGUUGUUGUUGCAUCAGUUCCCGUUUUUCUCUCAUUACCCACUGGCAUCCCAUUAAAAUAUCUCAACGAGAACGCAACGGGUCACGAGGGUGCUUAUCGUGGCGUCGUCGCCUUACUUCGCUUCAAUUGAAUUUCUAUCGCGUAAUCGAUAGAUAAUUGGUAAUCGUAAUUUUCAUAAUUUUUGGCUUUUCUUUUCACUUGGUUUUCCCCCCGGACUCGGGGGCCUUCUUCAUAGCUCAGCUCUGUGGAAAGCUCCGUCAUGGCGAGACACUUACGACUCUUUGUAGCAGGUCUUAGGCUGCUGAUCGACUGUAUGUUGGGGCAAGAGACUGCGGUAGGAGGGGCAGUCGGUCAGGCAAUUUGAUGGACGAUUUACACAGGCAGAAUGGAGUGUGACGGAGAGAUUUGCAUAUUAUGAUAAUAAACUAGGCGAAUUAGAACGAUAACAGACAGUUAAUUGAUGUUGUGUGUGCACUUGAGGUUGCGUAUUUUUACUGUUUAACCGUUAAAUAUUUUGGUUUAGCAGGCAUUGUUUUUUUUAUUGGAUUUCAUAGAAGGCCAACGGUAUUAUGAGAAAAUGUUUUUCCCGAAUUUCUGGAAAAUAAAUUUCUGA